UUGCUUAAAUCUUCAAAUUCGUGCACUUUGAUGUUAUGGGUCUGUGUUUUUACAACCCAGAACAUUAAUAGACUCCCUAUUACACUACUUUAAACAAUCAAUUGCAUCAAUUAACAUCGAAUCGAAGGAUUUCAAAAUUAGGGAAUUUCAUACCUUUUCUAGCUUCGAUUUUUGAUUUUUUUGGCUUUGAUGCUUCUGAUUUGUUGUUUGUGAUGGUUGGGCUUUGUUUAGGGACUGAUAUGCUAGAUAAUUUCGUUGGCUAGAGGUUGAGAGAGUUUGUCUAGAGAGUUUGUGAAAUUUUAGUGUGUAUUUUCAUUAACUCUCCUUGAUCUCUAUUUAUAGAUCAUGUCAAGAGCCUUGGAUACUGAUUUGGCUGCCAUUAUUGAGCUCACAUGAUAAAUAUGAAGUGGUUGGCCGGAUUUGGUGGAAUUGGUAGCACAAUAAUGCACAAAUAAUGCACUAAGAUGGACAAAAAGGGUAAAAUGGUCAUUUCCCUUCUCUUUAAAAAAUAUAUUAGAUACAUUGGAUGCUAAAAUUGGAUGAUUCCAUUGUUUGAUAGCUAAUAACAUGGUAGGGUAAGCAUGUUGGGCAUUUUUGUUACAAGAUUCCAUCAACAAUGUAAGUAAUAAUACACUAAUAAACCAAAAAGGGCAUUUUGGUCAUUUCACAUAUAAUUUCAAGGGCAUUUUUGUACAUAGCAAUUAAAUGUAGUAUUUAAUCACUAGAUGGUAAUUCUUAUCAUUUACCAAUUAAUUUCUAU
Molecule: long non-coding RNA, 760 nt
Filed under: Panax ginseng (ginseng)
Lineage: Eukaryota; Viridiplantae; Streptophyta; Magnoliopsida; Apiales; Araliaceae
Description: long non-coding RNA (PGIN_LNC005980)
Source: RNAcentral